AGGAGCUGAGCUGGCUGGGGUUGCAGUUCUGAACCUGAGCUUAACUGGGAGGAACCAUGAAGACAUCCAUGGGAACUUUAAUCAUGUUCUCCUGGCUGCAGCUGAACUGGUUCAGCCAAGGAGAGAAUGUGGAGCAGCAUCCUUCUACCCUGAGUGUCCAGGAGGGAAGCAGCUCUGUUAUCAACUGCAGUUAUUCAGACAGUUAUUCAGACUAUUUCCCCUGGUAUAAGCAAGAACCUGGAAAAGGCCCCCAGCUCCUUGUAUACAUUCUUUCAAGCAUGGCCACAAAAGAAGAACAAAGACUUACUGUUUUAUUGAAUAAGACUGCCAAACGUUUCUCCCUGCACAUCAGAGACACCCAGCCUGAAGACUCAGCAGUGUACUUCUGCGCAGCAAGCACACAUUGAUUUCCAGGCACCUGCUGCCUGCUCUCAAACGUGGGAUUGGGGCAGCCCUGUCCUUUGACAUAGACCUCCAAAGAUAGCUUUUGUGCUCUUGUUAUCCACAAGUGGAAGCUAACAUAUUAGACAUAAAUAGGUUAUAAGAGAAAGAGUAAGCUCAUGAUGAACUGGACAGAGUUAGAGCAUUUUGUUAGAUGAAUGUUGCUGAAUGGAUUCUUGAAGGCAGUUAGUAAUGUUUUAUUGUGAGGUUUGGGUUUUAAAGAUGAUUUUACAUUUGCUAUUCAGAACCCUGUCAUACAAAUAAAUUUUAAUACAUUAGCACAUCCUAUUAUGGAUAAAGUUUUAAUUCUUGUCUUUCAAAUGUUACAA
Non-coding RNA from Mustela lutreola (European mink), 770 nucleotides. Lineage: Eukaryota; Metazoa; Chordata; Mammalia; Carnivora; Mustelidae. The record is from the annotation of a RefSeq genome assembly.